Molecule: transfer RNA, 74 nt
Filed under: Candidatus Uhrbacteria bacterium
Lineage: Bacteria; Candidatus Uhriibacteriota
Description: tRNA-Met
Rfam family: tRNA
About the family: Transfer RNA (tRNA) molecules are approximately 80 nucleotides in length. Their secondary structure includes four short double-helical elements and three loops (D, anti-codon, and T loops).
Source: RNAcentral
GGCUGGGUAGCUCAGUCGGUAAGAGCACACGCUUCAUAAGCGUGGUGUCGUGGGUUCGAUUCCCACCCCAGCUA